CCUGCCGCUGGGAUCCCGCGGAACCGAGGCGCGGGCCGCUGCGAGGUUGACAGACGCACCGGCCAGAGGGUGCGCGCCGCCGUACCCACUUCGCCUGGUUCCGGGGAGCCCGGGCGGCGAGGGCGGCGGACGCAGCCAGGCUGGAGGUUCCGGGCAGGCGCGGGGGAGCGGUGGCGGCGGCGAGCGGACUCCGGACACCGGGCAGGCGUCUGGGCACGGCGCGGCGGGGAAGAUGACCGCGGGCUCCUGCUCGCUCCUCCUGCUGCUCUCGCUCUCCGGCUCGCUCCAGGAGUUUACAUGGGGUUGUGACGGAGGUGCCAAGGAGCCCCAAGGAUUGCUGACCAGGCAGAACAUACCAACCCUGAGAGGAAGCAAGACAUCAAGCCUCUGAAACCGUGACAGAGGGAAAGCAGGAUCUGGAGAGAGCCUCACAUUGGCCCAGAAUGAAGAAAGAGGCCACUUCUCUCGAAGUGGCUUUCUGUUGCCAAAACUGAACUGGUACAGCAUCCACUUCAGAAGGUUUGCUUUGUGACUGGGACACAGGAAUUGCCUGGGCUAAAGUAAGCCGCCAUUCAGAUGAGCCUCUGAGCUUAUGCCAGUGUGGCCUGGGGCAUUCAUUUGAGGAAAUCUAGGGUUGACAUUUCCCUCCAUUUCAUCUUGUGAAGCCUUUUCUUUUUCCACUAUUUUCCCGCUUCUCUGUGUAGUCCUAGGAAAGAAAAUAUUUUAAAAGCAACUCUUUUUACAAGCUAUUUUCAUGUGGAUCCCAGCACCUCUCCUGGGUGACCCUACAUAGGUGCUGUGCCUUUGUGGGGCCUUAAGCCACUUUUCAGCUUAGUGUAUUCAGCUGUAAAGAGUGUGCAUAUUUCACAACAUUUUAAAGUAUUAGCACCUAAAAGUUAUAUAAAAUUAUUUUCAAUGCAAAACUUAAAUAGCAUUUUUA
Choloepus didactylus (southern two-toed sloth) is the source of this 940-nucleotide long non-coding RNA. RefSeq lists it as uncharacterized. Lineage: Eukaryota; Metazoa; Chordata; Mammalia; Pilosa; Megalonychidae. The transcript has 3 exons. The record is from RefSeq and is a predicted model, not a curated record.